AGCAAGAUGAAAGUUUUUAAUGGAAGCCACAUCCCAUCACUCUUGACAUAUUAUACUGAUUAUACACAGUGACUCUCAAGACACAGGUUGCCACACAUAAAGUCAGUGCUCAAGAGAUGUUUUAUUCACCAGAGUUCCUCACAAUGUGUACUUCAAAGACAUCCUCAGGGGCUUUGGCUGAGGCCAUCUGCUAGUUUUGAAGACUAGAUUUCAGUGUGUUGGUGACUGGACUCAUGCAUAUUCUGUCCUGUGUUUUGCAGCUCCUCCUACAACAAAGAAUCUUCCUCUUAGAAUUUAGAAGGAAGUCCAAGUCUUUUGUGUUUUAUUAUCUUUACACCAGUUCUGCUUUGGCUAUGCUCCUUUUGUUUCAGCUGCUGCUGUCUCCUGGGUGAGGCAGUGAAGUGGACCCAUUCUUCCAUCACUGUUUAUUGAGAAAUGCAGAAACAUUUGUACAGAAACCACUAUGGGUUCAACAGAUUUCCUGGUAGAGAAGUAGAUAAACCAGCCAGACAAAGACGUUUUGAAAUGAGAUGUUAUCAUGUAGCCAACAACUGCAAAUUUACAAGAGCUCUCGGUUGAAAAUAUAAUUGUGGCGUUCAAAAAUCUCAUGAGAAACAUCUGAAUUAGAAUGAUUUUCAGAGGGCUCUCUCACAAUGCUAAGAUUUUGCUCGGAUGAUCUCUGUCGACCCCUGAAAACAAAAAUAAAAGUUUC
RNAcentral lists this long non-coding RNA (712 nucleotides) under Homo sapiens (human). RNAcentral describes it as "HSALNT0206122". The record is from RNAcentral. Lineage: Eukaryota; Metazoa; Chordata; Mammalia; Primates; Hominidae.